CGGCAGUGAUGACUAUCUUAGGACACCUUU
Molecule: non-coding RNA, 30 nt
Filed under: Cricetulus griseus (Chinese hamster)
Lineage: Eukaryota; Metazoa; Chordata; Mammalia; Rodentia; Cricetidae
Also listed under: 1 other name
Source: RNAcentral